RNAcentral lists this ribosomal RNA (253 nucleotides) under uncultured bacterium. Its description in RNAcentral is "partial 16S ribosomal RNA". It matches the Rfam family "Bacterial small subunit ribosomal RNA", at positions 524 to 776 of the family's 1533-position model. RNAcentral also lists the same sequence under 1 other name. The record is from RNAcentral.
UACGUAGGGCGCAAGCGUUGUCCGGAUUUAUUGGGCGUAAAGAGUUCGUAGGCGGUCUGUCGCGUCGGAAGUGAAAACCCGGAGCUCAACUCCGGGCCUGCUUUCGAUACGGGCAGACUUGAGUGUUGCAGGGGAGACUGGAAUUCCUGGUGUAGCGGUGGAAUGCGCAGAUAUCAGGAGGAACACCGGUGGCGAAGGCGGGUCUCUGGGCAACAACUGACGCUGAGGAACGAAAGCGUGGGGAGCGAACAGG